RNAcentral lists this ribosomal RNA (440 nucleotides) under uncultured bacterium. RNAcentral describes it as "partial 16S ribosomal RNA". It matches the Rfam family "Bacterial small subunit ribosomal RNA", at positions 338 to 795 of the family's 1533-position model. The record is from RNAcentral.
CCUACGGGUGGCUGCAGUAGGGAAUAUUGCUCAAUGGGGGAAACCCUGAAGCAGCAACGCCGCGUGGAGGAUGACGGUUUUCGGAUUGUAAACUCCUUUUGUUAGAGAAGAUAAUGACGGUAUCUAAAGAAUAAGCACCGGCUAACUCAGUGCCAGCAGCCGCGGUAAUAAGGAGGGUGCCAGCGUUAUUCGGAAUCACUGGGCGUAAAGAGCGCGUAGGCGGGUUAGCAAGUCAGAUGUGAAAUCCUAUGGCUUAACCUUAGAACUGCAUUUGAAACUGGUAUUCUAGAGUAUGGGAGAGGUAGGUGGAAUUCUUGGUGUAGGGGUGAAAUCCGUAGAGAUCAAGAGGAAUACUGAUUGCGAAGGCGACCUGCUAGAACAUAACUGACGCUGAUGCGCGAAAGCGUGGGGAGCAAACAGGAGUAGAUACCCGGGUAGUC